UACAGGGGGGGCAAGCGUUGUUCGGAAUUACUGGGCGUAAAGGGUUCGUAGGUGGCCACUUAAGUCAGACGUGAAAUCCCUCAGCUUAACUGGGGAACUGCGUCUGAUGCUGAGUGGCUUGAGUGCAGGAGAGGAAUGCGGAAUUCCAGGUGUAGCGGUGAAAUGCGUUGAUACCCUAAGGAACACCGGUGGCGAAGGCGGCUUCCUGGUCCAGCACCGACGUUCAGGCACGAAAGCGUGGGGAGCAAACAGG
Molecule: ribosomal RNA, 253 nt
Filed under: uncultured bacterium
Lineage: Bacteria
Description: partial 16S ribosomal RNA
Rfam family: Bacterial small subunit ribosomal RNA
Source: RNAcentral